Pteropus alecto (black flying fox) is the source of this 119-nucleotide non-coding RNA. The record is from Rfam. NCBI's taxonomy places the organism in Eukaryota, Metazoa, Chordata, Mammalia, Chiroptera, Pteropodidae.
GUCUACAGCCAUGCUAACCUGAAUGAGCCCAAUCCCAUCUGAUCUCGGAAGCUAAGCAGGGUCGGGCCUGGUUAGUACUUGGAUGGCAGACCACCUAGGAAGACCAGGUGCUGUAGGCA